This 594-nucleotide ribosomal RNA is filed under the name obligately oligotrophic bacterium POCPN-71. RNAcentral describes it as "bacterial SSU rRNA". It matches the Rfam family "Bacterial small subunit ribosomal RNA", at positions 58 to 647 of the family's 1533-position model. The record is from RNAcentral. RNAcentral also lists the same sequence under 1 other name. Lineage: Bacteria; Pseudomonadati; Pseudomonadota; Gammaproteobacteria.
CAAGUCGAGCGGUAGAGAGAAGCUUGCUUCUCUUGAGAGCGGCGGACGGGUGAGUAAUGCCUAGGAAUCUGCCUGGUAGUGGGGGAUAACGUUCGGAAACGGACGCUAAUACCGCAUACGUCCUACGGGAGAAAGCAGGGGACCUUCGGGCCUUGCGCUAUCAGAUGAGCCUAGGUCGGAUUAGCUAGUUGGUGAGGUAAUGGCUCACCAAGGCGACGAUCCGUAACUGGUCUGAGAGGAUGAUCAGUCACACUGGAACUGAGACACGGUCCAGACUCCUACGGGAGGCAGCAGUGGGGAAUAUUGGACAAUGGGCGAAAGCCUGAUCCAGCCAUGCCGCGUGUGUGAAGAAGGUCUUCGGAUUGUAAAGCACUUUAAGUUGGGAGGAAGGGUUGUAGAUUAAUACUCUGCAAUUUUGACGUUACCGACAGAAUAAGCACCGGCUAACUCUGUGCCAGCAGCCGCGGUAAUACAGAGGGUGCAAGCGUUAAUCGGAAUUACUGGGCGUAAAGCGCGCGUAGGUGGUUUGUUAAGUUGGAUGUGAAAUCCCCGGGCUCAACCUGGGAACUGCAUUCAAAACUGACUGACUAGAGU